CAUUCCCUGUGGUGUUCGUAUCGGCCCGUAAUCCCCUUGAGCGUAUGACUUACCCAGGGAUGUUUCGCGCGGUGCAGGCGUGCAUGCCCGCUCCCGCGGGAAGCCCGAAACACCGCCGUCGCGUCCCACUUGAACCUUCGGUUCAAGGGUAAGGAUUCGAUACGGCACACGCGGGGAAUGC
Molecule: non-coding RNA, 181 nt
Filed under: Chromatiales bacterium
Lineage: Bacteria; Pseudomonadati; Pseudomonadota; Gammaproteobacteria; Chromatiales
Description: 6S RNA
Rfam family: 6S / SsrS RNA
About the family: E. coli 6S RNA was the first non coding RNA to be sequenced, but its function was unknown until recently. It consists of 184 nucleotides that fold into an extended hairpin structure with a large single-stranded internal bulge.
Source: RNAcentral